This 253-nucleotide ribosomal RNA is filed under the name uncultured Brevundimonas sp. RNAcentral's name for it is "partial 16S ribosomal RNA". It matches the Rfam family "Bacterial small subunit ribosomal RNA", at positions 524 to 776 of the family's 1533-position model. The record is from RNAcentral. Lineage: Bacteria; Pseudomonadati; Pseudomonadota; Alphaproteobacteria; Caulobacterales; Caulobacteraceae.
UACGAAGGGGGCUAGCGUUGCUCGGAUUUACUGGGCGUAAAGGGAGCGUAGGCGGACAUUUAAGUCAGGGGUGAAAUCCCAGAGCUCAACUCUGGAACUGCCUUUGAUACUGGGUGUCUUGAGUAUGAGAGAGGUAUGUGGAACUCCGAGUGUAGAGGUGAAAUUCGUAGAUAUUCGGAAGAACACCAGUGGCGAAGGCGACAUACUGGCUCAUUACUGACGCUGAGGCUCGAAAGCGUGGGGAGCAAACAGG